Non-coding RNA from Phrynosoma platyrhinos (Desert horned lizard), 72 nucleotides. NCBI's taxonomy places the organism in Eukaryota, Metazoa, Chordata, Lepidosauria, Squamata, Phrynosomatidae. The record is from the annotation of a GenBank genome assembly.
GCCAGCAUAGUAUAAUGGUUUGAGUUCUAGACUAGGGCUCUGGAAAAUAGGGUUCAAAUCCCUGCUCGGCCA